This 253-nucleotide ribosomal RNA is filed under the name uncultured bacterium. RNAcentral's name for it is "partial 16S ribosomal RNA". It matches the Rfam family "Bacterial small subunit ribosomal RNA", at positions 524 to 776 of the family's 1533-position model. The record is from RNAcentral.
UACAGAGGGUGCAAGCGUUAAUCGGAAUUACUGGGCGUAAAGCGUGCGUAGACGGUUGCGUAAGUCAGAUGUGAAAGCCCCGGGCUCAACCUGGGAAUUGCAUUUGAGACUGCGUAGCUAGGGUGCGGAAGAGGGAAGCGGAAUUUCCGGUGUAGCGGUGAAAUGCGUAGAUAUCGGAAGGAACACCAGUGGCGAAAGCGGCUUCCUGGUCCAGCACCGACGUUGAGGCACGAAAGCGUGGGGAGCAAACAGG